UCUAACAGGGUAAAAGAGCAAAAAUCGUGUUCAAAUUCAACAGCUACUCCACGUUUUGAAGAGAGAAUUAUUUCAAGAUUUGGCUCCAUUGUUGUGGAAUUCUUUUGGUACUAUUGUUGCACUGUUACAGCUUGCCAAUUUGGAAGUUUGGUUUCAGCGGCCAAAAGACAUUGUUCCGAAAUUGGUAUCUGGAGUCCUUGUUUUCUUAUCAAGGAUUGGUAUGAGGAAGUGCAUUACCAUUAAAAGUUCAUCAUUUUUGUUCCUGCUGUCAGGGGAAUGAGGAUCUUAUUCUUGUUCAUGAUGCUCUUGAGUAUGGGGACUGCUGAAAAGACUCUGCGAGUCGCUACUGGAUUCACCUACGAAUGAUCUGUGUUUCAUUUUAUUAUAUUAUGAAAAUUUCAGUUUAUUUUUCUCAUUUUUGUAACAUUUUCAGUUUUGGCCCUAUCCUUCUGCACAGCUAGAUCCUAAAUUUAUGAAAGAAAAUGGACUAAAGUAUGUGACUUUUUCAACUGCUGAUGGAGCAUUGGAGGCAGCUCCUGCAAAUAAUGGUUGAUGAGAUCAUCGGUUGGCAGGUUUCCAAAUGCACUCGGGGUUUUAUGUAUCCAAUUUAUGGUCAUGGGGAACUACCACAGGCUUUUUGCUGUUGUGCUGCUGUCAAAGGUUGCAUUCAUUUCUUAAUGCAAGGGAAAGUUGGUGGCUAUGCAUGAGUAUUUAAGAAGUACCAGGAAAAGGCAGAGUCCUUUAUGUGAGACCCUUUAAAUAUUAGUACCUCAGUUUGUUUUGCAUUAAAAUAGAAUAAUAUUAAGAUUAAGAUUAAGAUUUUGAUCAUA
This is a long non-coding RNA of Quercus robur (English oak), 830 nucleotides long. RefSeq lists it as uncharacterized. The record is from RefSeq and is a predicted model, not a curated record. The transcript is spliced from 6 exons. NCBI's taxonomy places the organism in Eukaryota, Viridiplantae, Streptophyta, Magnoliopsida, Fagales, Fagaceae.